Molecule: RNA transcript, 4543 nt
Organism: Hypanus sabinus (Atlantic stingray)
Lineage: Eukaryota; Metazoa; Chordata; Chondrichthyes; Myliobatiformes; Dasyatidae
Gene name: zinc finger protein 235-like
Exons: 4
Source: RefSeq, a predicted model, not a curated record
ACGACAUCGCGCACGCUCAGUUCUUUCCGUUCUUUGUUCAAGCGGAUCGCCAUCGGGAGGUGUUCCUCGCCACCAGGGUGGGGAGCCGGGAACGAAUGGUUCUCUGCGGGGCGAAACCUACGAUUUUGUAUUGUUAGACCUGCGGUGAGAAGUUUAUUUGAAGAAAAACCCCAACUGGAAGCAAACCACAGCUGAAGACGAGGGAACAGCAACAAGUGAAUUGGCCCGAGGACUGAGAACAGCAACUGGAGAGACCAACUUUGCAUCAAGAGACUCGGAUUUCCCAGUGAUUCAGUCAGGAGAAAGUUUGUUUUCACCAUAUGUUAAUGUGAAGAGUGAACAGUAAAUGGUUAAUCUUACUGCGAUCUGGUUUCAUUCACUGUGGUUUAUCUCGACAUUGAAUUCGGCGUUAUUAGUACACCCGAAGGAGAACGUGACAGUGAAAAAGCGGCAUUAUCAGGUGUUUCAAGUGCUGCAAUGUCAGCUCGAUCCAGCAUCAAGUCGACACCGCCCCGCGACAAGGACGGUAGAACGACAUCAAGUAAGCCCACCCAGGUGUUAUCAGGUGUUUCAAGUGCUGCAAUGUCAGCUCGAUCCAGCAUCAAGUCGACACCGCCCCGCGACAAGGACGGUAGACCGACAUCAAGUAAGCCCACCCAGGUGUUAUCAGGUGUUUCAAGUGCUGCAAUGUCAGCUCGAUCCAGCAUCAAGUCGAUGGCGCCCAGCGACAAGGGCAGUAGAGCGACAUCAAGUAAGUCCACCCAGGCAAGAGCCAAGGCAUUAGCUGCCAAGGUGCGACUGCGUUACGCCAGACAAGAAGCAGUUUUGAAAAUGGAACAGGCCACCAGAGAAGCCGAAAUCCAGAAAGAAAAGGCUGCCAGAGAAGCCGAAAUCCAGAAGGAAAGGGCCGCCAGACAAAGUGAAGCGGCCACCAGUGAAGCCGAAACCCAGAAGGAAUGGGCCACCCAAGAAGCUGAAACCCAGUUGGAAAUGACAAAAAUAUCGACAGAGUUGCAAGUGCUGCAGCUAGAAAGAGAAGGAGAAGCUGCCAAGGCGGAAGCAGAGUACAUAGAAGAAGCUGAAGGGACGCAUGAUCUGACCGAAGUAAGAUCUACUUUAGAAAGGACCAGAUUGGAACGCACAAGCGACUAUGUCCGAUCUCAAAUAGACAGGCAGGCUCGUCCUUCCUCUCCAUAUGUAUUCGAUAACUUCCCAAGAUACAAGGAAGACAACUUACCCUUGCGACUCUGCGAUGAAGUCAAGAAUGAAAGAGCUGACAUCCAAUACUUCUCGACACCAAACUUACAAGGUUUGAUGCGAAGAGAUGCAGAGGUCGAAUCCAGGACGGCAAAUUCCAUAAGAAACGUACGCUCUCAGUCAUAUAGGCACCAACGUACUUCUCCAGCCCGCAUGCCGCUUACAAGUGAUCCCGUGAUGCAGUAUUUAGCACGACGGGAUCUUGUCACUUCGGAACUGUACCAGUUUGACGAUAAACCUGAAAAUUACCGUGCAUGGUACUCCACAUUCACCAACGCUAUCGACGGAGUGUAGCUCAGAGCAACCCAAGAGUUGGACCUUAUGGCGAAAUGGCUGGGAAAAGAAUCACGCGAACAGGUGAGACGCAUACGUUCAGUGUACAUCAACAAACCCGAGCUAGCUUUAAGCAAAGCGUGGGAGAGACUUCGGGAGGGCUAUGGGGCCCCCGAAAAUAUUGAAGCGGCGCUAUAUCGACGUCUGGAAAACUUUCCUAAGAUGACAGCCAAAGAUCACUUUAAAGUUAAGAGAAUUCGGAGAUUUACUCAUGGAGAUCCAAGGCACCAAAGAAGACGGCUACUCAGCUGGUCUAGUAUACCUAGAUACUCCAUCCGGGAUUAGACAAGUCGUGGACAAACUUCCAUUUGGGCUGCAGGACAGGUGGCUGUCCGUUGCUUUAGAAUACAAGGUAAACCACGAUGAUCGAUUUCCUCCCUUUAAGCUCCUCACUAGGUUUGUGUGCUGGGAGGCAAGGAAGAGAAACAACCCUAGCCUCGCGGGUCCAGGAAGCAGUACGAUUUACACCAAGCCAGGUAGAUCCUCUUCGAAUGUUUUCAACAUUGAUAAACCCGCCUCACUGCUCAAGACUGAAGCCCUUACAACUAACAACGACCCUAGCAAGGAUUGUCCACCGCAAACCGACAACGCUCCUUCACCCACACAACAGGACAGCGGGGAGGGAGAGGCUCACUCCAGGACAACAAUUGUCAGCUCGAACUGUACAGAAGUUUGCGGUCAAGCUCAGUCAAGCCGUUCUUGUUCCAAGAUCUGCCUCACUAAGGUGUACCCUAAAGGAGCCAAAGACAAGGCCAUCAAAGCCUAUGCGAUUCUGGAUGAUCAGAGCAAUCGCUCACUAGUCAGUCCAGAGUUCUUUAAAUUGUUCAACAUUGAGAGUGAGCAGUUCCCAUACUACCUCAAAACUUGCUCAGGCAACAUGGAAACCCAAGGAAGGAAGGCAGAAGGCAUCCAGAUCGAGUUCCUGGAUGGUAAAGUCGUCAUCUGUCUCCCUCCGCUCUUACAGUGCAAUGGAAUCAUGAAUAACUGCACUGAGAUCCCCACACAAAGUGCGGCGCUACACCAGCCACAUCUCCACCACAUCGCCAAACACAUCCCAGAACUGGAUCCAAAAGCGGAAAUACUCCUGCUAUUAGGAAGAGAUGUAAUCCGGGUGCACAAGGUUAGGCAGCAGGUCAAUGGACCACACGACGCCCCCUUUGCGCAACGCUUGGAUCUAGGCUGGGUGGUGAUAGGAAGGGUGUGCCCUGAAGACGUACACAAACCGAUGGUUAAAACACUCAAGACCAAUGUGCUAGAGAGUGGCCGCCAUUCAAUCUUUCAACCCUGCCCGAGUGUCCCGUGCAUUACGGAAGCACAACAAGACGUUAACAAGCGUAAAGUAACUGACGAGACGUUAGGUCAGUCAGUUUUCAUUCAAACCGAGCACGGAAACAAACUUGCACAAUCAGCUCAAGAUGCCAUUUCUUUAAAAACAAAGGACACCAAGGUCUUCAGAGAUGAAGCAAAUAAUGGGGUUGCCCCAUUGCCUUUCAGAGAACCACGCCAGCGCUCACCAGAUAACAAAGAGCAGGCAGUCAAACGGUUCACGUCCUUACGGAAAACCCGGAAAAGGAAACCUGAGAUGCAGCAACGCACCGGAUUGACCCAUGAGGUACUGUGCACCCUAAUGGCAGAGGUCACAGCCAUUAUAAACUCACAACCACUCCUGCCUGUGUCCUCUGACCCAGAAAACCCCUACAUACUUUCGCCAUCAACGCUCCUUACGCAGAAGGCAGGAGCUCCCCCUCCACCAGGAGGCUUCUCAGACGAGGAUUUCUACACAAAGCAAUGGAGACAAGUCCAGGCUCUGGCAAAUCAGUUCUGGUCUUGCUGGAGACAGGAAUAUCUACCCUUGUUGCAACACAGACAAAAGUGGACAGAACCCCGCAGGAAUCUUCAAGUUGGAGACUUAGUCCUGCUCAGGGACAAGCAAAUCACCCACAACAGCUGGCCAAUGGCCAGAAUCACUGCUACAUUCCCUAGCAGGGAUGGACAUGUCAGGAAGAUCGAAUUGAAGACUACCGACCAAGGCGAUGUGAAAAUUUACCAAAGGCCAGUUACAGAAGUUAUUCUACUACCUAAUGACUGAUUAAGAGACUAAGUUUUGUACUCUGUUCAUUAUGACCUUACGAAGGUCAAGCGGGGAGUGUGCUGUCUUUAUGACAGUUAUUUAGUUUAUAAUAUUUUCGCUUAGUAAUUCAUUCGAUAGUAUUUUCUAGUUAGAAUUAGAAGUGUUUAAAGUAUAUUCAUUGCAUGUAAAAUAUAUCGGCAUGCGAUGACGUCACAUCUGGUUUCGCCGCGUCUUGUGGGAAAGUACCGGUUUGAAAUUAACGCGAGGGUGGGGGCUCACCACGAGGCACACCUGAGCAGAAGUUGUUUUGCAGGCAUGAGAAAUCACAGUGAGAGCAACGCUGUAAGUUAAUAGAUAAUCGAUAUAUUGAACUAAGAUGUUAAUGCUGAUCCUGUUAAAAGUAACGACGGUCGAUAAUGUUUAUGCUUUCGUUAGUUAAAGAGUUGCGGAUAGUUUGCAUUGAAGUGUUUUUAAAGUAGUCAAUGGAGCAGGUAAACUCUGCCUGUAUACUGCAUCUUAGUGUAAUGUAGUUAUAGUCACCUUUGCAAGUAUUUACAAUUGAAAUGUGAGAUUAAGGAAGGAACAAAUACUGUAUCAAUCUUGUAUUGUUUUAUCAACAGUUUUCACCAUAUGUUAAUGUGAAGAGUGAACAGUAAAUGGUUAAUCUUACUGCGAUCUGGUUUCAUUCACUGUGGUUUAUCUCGACGUUGAAUUCGGCGUUCCGUUACACCCGAAGGAGAACGUGACAGGUAUGUAAUGUCUAAAGGACCAGUGUUUGAGUAAAUGAGACUCACCAACUUUCUCCUGAUUGAAUCACUGGAAUCUCCGAGUCAGACGGGUUCUCUCCAGUCGGUGCUCUCAAUCCUCGGGCUGUUUCACUUG